RNAcentral lists this ribosomal RNA (446 nucleotides) under uncultured bacterium. Its description in RNAcentral is "partial 16S ribosomal RNA". It matches the Rfam family "Bacterial small subunit ribosomal RNA", at positions 338 to 795 of the family's 1533-position model. The record is from RNAcentral.
CCUACGGGUGGCAGCAGUCGAGAAUCAUUCACAAUGGGGAAAACCCUGAUGGUGCGACGCCGCGUGGGGGAAUGAAGGUCUUCGGAUUGUAAACCCCUGUCAUGUGGGAGCAAAUUAAAAAGAUAGUACCACAAGAGGAAGAGACGGCUAACUCUGUGCCAGCAGCCGCGGUAAUACAGAGGUCUCAAGCGUUGUUCGGAAUCACUGGGCGUAAAGCGUGCGUAGGCUGUUUCGUAAGUCGUGUGUGAAAGGCGCGGACUCAACCCGCGGACGGCACAUGAUACUGCGAGACUAGAGUAAUGGAGGGGGAACCGGAAUUCUCGGUGUAGCAGUGAAAUGCGUAGAUAUCGAGAGGAACACUCGUGGCGAAGGCGGGUUCCUGGACAUUAACUGACGCUGAGGCACGAAGGCCAGGGGAGCGAAAGGGAUUAGAUACCCCAGUAGUC